GCCUCUUAUCCUUGGAGACUGCGUGACUGGUGUCGCUGGUGUAUUUGAUUCUGACAGAAAUGUCAGCAAAGAUUCAUCCUUACCACCCGUCAGAAGCAAAGGCAGACAAUCCUCACUUUCUACCAUUCCAGGUGGAAAAGGUCACUUGGCUGUACAGUCAGCAAGUCAGCUCUGCAGAGAACAC
Xenopus tropicalis (tropical clawed frog) is the source of this 184-nucleotide long non-coding RNA. RefSeq lists it as uncharacterized. The transcript has 3 exons. Lineage: Eukaryota; Metazoa; Chordata; Amphibia; Anura; Pipidae. The record is from RefSeq and is a predicted model, not a curated record.